This is a long non-coding RNA of Melitaea cinxia (Glanville fritillary), 372 nucleotides long. RefSeq lists it as uncharacterized. Lineage: Eukaryota; Metazoa; Arthropoda; Insecta; Lepidoptera; Nymphalidae. The record is from RefSeq and is a predicted model, not a curated record. The transcript has 2 exons.
AUAGUAUUCUUUAGCCUCGAACUAUUUUAGCCAGUUUCUCGAUUGUACUGCGGAAUUGCUUCAUGUCACAAAACUUUAAAAAUUCGUAGAAGCAAACUUGAAUAGCGAACAUAUGAAUAAAGCCUGGAAUUCAAGUGAUCUUAAAAACUCGAGUUCUACUGAUUGAGACAAUCAUGCGUCCUAUUUAAAAUGCUGACAUGAAUUUAUUUACAAUGUGCAGCCAUUUUGGCAGUUUCUAUGACAACGAGAGGCUGCGGUGCUGCUGUACCGCGACUAUCUGCGCGCACAAAUCAAUGGAAUCCUUAUAGGGUUGUCAAAAAAUAUUUUAAUAAAUAUGUACGAUUUUUUAAAGAUUAAACGUGUUAACAAAUA